RNAcentral lists this ribosomal RNA (221 nucleotides) under uncultured bacterium. RNAcentral's name for it is "partial 16S ribosomal RNA". It matches the Rfam family "Bacterial small subunit ribosomal RNA", at positions 114 to 334 of the family's 1533-position model. The record is from RNAcentral.
CACGUAGUCAACCUGCCUUACCGUCCGGGAUAACUAGCCAAAGGUUAGCUAAUACCUGAUACGAUCGUUGAGCGGCAUCGCCCGACGAUGAAAGCAGCAAUGCGCGGUUAGAGGGGGCUGCGGCCCAUUAGCUAGUUGGUGAGGUAAUGGCCCACCAAGGCAACGAUGGGUAGCUGGUCUGAGAGGACGACCAGCCACACUGGGACUGAGACACGGCCCAG